UAAAAGAUACAAGUUAGCGCAAAAAUAUCUUGACGGCGCGAGAAUAUCCACACCGCGAACACUUUGGAAGCUGGCUUAGCGAAAAUUUCCACAUGCGAAAAUAUCCACUUUUACAGUACAUUAUACAUAGCAGGCAGGGUACUCAAAAAGUUUAUCCAUUGAGAUGUUAAAAGAUUCAGUCGUUGAAUUAAUAGUUUACUUACCUUACAAAAGCAAAAUUUGCACUUGUGAUCCUUGGCGAGAAAACAAAUACCUAGUAAUGCUCAUUUUGAUACCAAAAGAUGCAUAUGGUUAAUGAAACUGAGAGUGAUAUUUGUGCUGAAUUGAUGUAACAAAAUUUAUUUUACUUUAGAUUAAUUACAUUCCAGUUUACUGUAUUGAUACCAGUACUGAUGUUUCAAACCAAAACAAGGUAGAUGUGUUGAGUGAAUAGACUGUAUUUCAUUAAAGUCCUGUGUUAUCAUUGAGCUGUUCAAUGAAAUACCUCCGGAGUAUCUGAAGAAGGAUUAUGGGACCCUUACCAUUUAAAUUGUUUUAAAGUUAAAAUGCCUAGUGUAUUUCAACAGUACAAGACAUGCCAGUAUUCAAAAUAAUUAUAUAUCAAUGAUAUUUUAUAAUAAUUAUAUUUACUGGUACUUAUGAUUUGUCAGCAAAUUGAUUAGUUUGUUAUAUGUACAUUGCAAAGUUACUGAUCCGAGGACAUAUACUGUAAAUAUACCUAUUUUAGUGGUAAUCUGAUUAUGUACCUCCAAAAUGAAGUUAGGGCGGGGGUACUGGAAUCAGGUUGUACGUCCAUCCAUCUGUCUUUGUCAAGGAUUUGUCUGGUACACUAAAUUCCUACAGUUUUGAUAAAAUCUUUCGUGAAUCUUUGUUGAUGCAAUCAUGAUGCACUGAAGUUGUUUUUCAGCCUAUUUUUUACGGCAGUGAUAUACCUUUUAGUGUUGAUUGUAGACCGAAUCUUUAUAAUGUCGGUAGGUAGACCGAAUCUUUAUAAUGUCGGUAGGUAGACCGAAUCUUUAUAAUGUCCGUAGAACUCCUACAGCUGUUGUCCAAACAUCUCAAAACUGCACCAAUGUAGUUGGUACACACCGAUGUGCACAUGAGUUAACGUUUUUAUCCGUGUAUAUAUCCAUGUUUGUAGACAUAUAAUCUUGUCUGACCAACUCCUCCAUCAGUUUUCAUCCAAACCUUUUGAAAUUUUACUGAAUGUUCUGGCAUUAAUGCCCUUUUCCUGUGCUUGUAGACAGAAUCUUGUGUGGACAACUUUUCCCACAGCCAAAAUUCUAUAAACUUAAAUACUCAGCACACAAGCAUGUUCAAUCAAGUUCUGUACGUGUACUUACUGUUUUGUUCGCUAUUUUUCCCUUUUUUUUAUCUUUACUAACAAGUGACUGAUGUAGAGUGGGAAUCCAGAUAGAUUGAGGAGUGGAGAGUAUUAGUCAGCCAUCCUGGUGACAGUUCUAGUUGUUUAAUGGGUGGAGUUGGAAUCAGGGUAGAUUAAGGAGCGGGGAGUAUUAGUCAGCCAUCCUGGUGACAGUUCUAGCUGAAGACAUUGCCCUAUAUUAUCAUUCCGUUAAUCAAAGUUUUGACAUGUGUCCUGUAUUACAUGUAUCGUUAAUGCUCCAGUUCAUCAAUUUGCCAAUCUAUUUUGAUAACACCAAAGUUUGAACUCUUACUGUUUAAUAUAUUAUAUAACCCAGGUUAUUAUUGACAGGUUUAUCUUCAGCUAUUACGGCGCAUUCACCAUUCGGUGGACACGAGUAUAUAAACCAGGUGAAACUGCUUACAACAUAUUAUAGCGGCAUGUUUGAUGGCUAGAUAAAGCUACUUAAUAGGUUUUUGUAUAGGUUUUUGUAUUUAAAUCACAUUUUGUAGAGAAAUUAUCAUGUUUUGGUAUAUGUUCCAUAUGUUUCUGUAUGGUAGUAUAAACCACAGGGACUUGGUACAAGUUUCUGACCAUGAGUUCCAUAUACAUACUGUAGGUGUAUUAUACAGUAUACAUGUAUUUGGAACAUGGGGUUGAGAACGCGCCAAGUCCCUGUGAUAUACGAGCUCCAUUGUAGUAAGUACAGUAUUAUUUACAUCAUGUUAAUAAGGACUGAAUGCAUAAUUUUUCUAUUUUGGGCACUUUACAAAUACUGUUUUAUUUUACUAUCUAAACUGAAUUCAAAUGAAUAGUUUUACAUUUUUCUACUUUGUUAAAAUAUCAAAUUAAUUAUCUGUAGGCUUAAUAAUAAGAUAACAAAAAAUCUUGCAUAGAAAUCAAACUUUUACAACAGUAAUUUUAAAAUUUUACAAAGAAAGAAACACGAUUUAAAUUAAUCACUGUUGUUGGCCAGGUCAGCAAUGUGCACGGGGCUUACGCUUCGGUAAGAUGUACUUGGGGAAAACCCAUGACAUCACUCUGGUGACCUCAUUCCUCUUUUCACUUAUGAUCAUUGGAUACAACAUGCUGUCCUGGCGGAAAGCAGAUGCAUUACACAGCCAGACCACUGGCUCUAACUAGAACAUGUUGUUUCUGUUCAGAUUUGUAUGUGUUGGUUAUGUGCCAUAAUGGGUUACGUAUGAUUGGAUUAAUAUUAUUUUCUUCCAGGUUUUACAAUUUAUUUGGUUGUAUAUUUGUAUGUAAAACUAUGGUUAUUAUGUUAUCAAAUAAAAUACAAUUAAUAUUC
Molecule: long non-coding RNA, 2672 nt
Organism: Pecten maximus
Lineage: Eukaryota; Metazoa; Mollusca; Bivalvia; Pectinida; Pectinidae
Exons: 2
Source: RefSeq, a predicted model, not a curated record